Molecule: transfer RNA, 73 nt
Filed under: Mustela putorius furo (domestic ferret)
Lineage: Eukaryota; Metazoa; Chordata; Mammalia; Carnivora; Mustelidae
Rfam family: tRNA
About the family: Transfer RNA (tRNA) molecules are approximately 80 nucleotides in length. Their secondary structure includes four short double-helical elements and three loops (D, anti-codon, and T loops).
Source: Rfam by way of RNAcentral
ACCUGGCUAGCUCAGUCAGAAAAACAUGUGACUCUUGAUCUCAGGGUCAUGAGUUCAAACCCCAUGUCAGGUG